This 253-nucleotide ribosomal RNA is filed under the name uncultured bacterium. RNAcentral's name for it is "partial 16S ribosomal RNA". It matches the Rfam family "Bacterial small subunit ribosomal RNA", at positions 524 to 776 of the family's 1533-position model. The record is from RNAcentral.
GACGGAGGAGGCUAGCGUUGUUCGGAAUUACUGGGCGUAAAGCGUACGCAGGCGGUUCAUCAAGUCGGAUGUGAAAGCCCGGGGCUCAACCUCGGAAUUGCGCCCGAGACUGAUGGACUUGAGGUCGAGAGAGGAGAGCGGAAUUCCCAGUGUAGAGGUGAAAUUCGUAGAUAUUGGGAAGAACACCGGUGGCGAAGGCGGCUCUCUGGCUCGAUCCUGACGCUCAAGUACGAAAGCGUGGGGAGCAAACAGG